Molecule: ribosomal RNA, 497 nt
Filed under: uncultured bacterium
Lineage: Bacteria
Description: partial 16S ribosomal RNA
Rfam family: Bacterial small subunit ribosomal RNA
Source: RNAcentral
GAUGAACGCUGGCGGCGUGCCUAAUACAUGCAAGUCGAGCGAACGGACGAGAAGCUUGCUUUUCUGAUGUUAGCGGCGGACGGGUGAGUAACACGUGGAUAACCUACCUAUAAGACGGGGAUAACUUCGGGAAACCGGAUCUAAUACCGGAUAAUAUUUUGAACCGCAUGGUUCAAAAGUGAAAGACGGUCUUGCGGUCACUUAUAGAUGGAUCCGCGCUGCAUUAGCUAGUUGGUAAGGUAACGGCUUACCAAGGCAACGAUGCAUAGCCGACCUGAGAGGGUGAUCGGCCACACUGGAACUGAGACACGGUCCAGACUCCUACGGGAGGCAGCAGUAGGGAAUCUUCCGCAAUGGGCGAAAGCCUGGCGGAGCAACGCCGCGUGAGUGAUGAAGGUCUUCGGAUCGUAAAACUCUGUUAUUAGGGAAGAACAUAUGUGUAAGUAACUGUGCACAUCUUGACGGUACCUAAUCAGAAAGCCACGGCUAACUACGUG